Molecule: ribosomal RNA, 408 nt
Filed under: uncultured bacterium
Lineage: Bacteria
Description: partial 16S ribosomal RNA
Rfam family: Bacterial small subunit ribosomal RNA
Source: RNAcentral
GACGAACGCUGGCGGCGUGCUUAACACAUGCAAGUCGAACGGAGUGGCGAACGGGUGAGUAACACGUGGGUGAUCUGCCUUGCCCUUCGGGAUAAGCUUGGGAAAAUGGGUCUAAUACCGGAUAGUGCAAGCUGCGCGCGCAGCCUAUCAGCUUGUUGGGGGGGUAAUGGCCUACCAAGGCGUCGACGGGUAGCCGGCCUGUGAGGGUGUACGGCCGCAUUGGGACUGAGAGACGGCCCAGACACCUACGGGAGGCAGCAGUGGGGAAUAUUGCACAAUGGGCGGAAGCCUGAUGCAGCGACGCCGCGUGUGGGAUGAAGGCCUUGGGGUUGUAAACUCCUUACGAAAGGGACGCGGUACCUGUAUAAGAAGCACCGGCUAACUACGUGCCAGCAGCCGCGGUAAUAC